RNAcentral lists this transfer RNA (73 nucleotides) under Camelus bactrianus (Bactrian camel). It matches the Rfam family "tRNA". From Rfam's summary of the family: Transfer RNA (tRNA) molecules are approximately 80 nucleotides in length. Their secondary structure includes four short double-helical elements and three loops (D, anti-codon, and T loops). Lineage: Eukaryota; Metazoa; Chordata; Mammalia; Artiodactyla; Camelidae. RNAcentral also lists the same sequence under 2 other names. The record is from Rfam by way of RNAcentral.
GAGGGUAUAGCUUAAGUGGUAGAGUGCAUGCUUAGCAUGCAUGAGGUCCUGAGUUCAAUUGCCAGUACUGCCA